UUAACUUCAGAUCAAACUGGGCCGUACGUUGCUCCUGGACUGAAAUUCAGUGUGCGUGUGUGCGUGUGUGUGUGUGUCCCCCUCAGGUGAAGCUAUGCUGGGACGAUCUGACGGCUGCUCACUGCGUCCAAUCAGCAGCCACUCAAAGCGCCUCCAGUCCCAUCCAGCUGGAUUUCCCUCAGGCUCAGGGAGCUCAGAUGGAUGCGUGUUUUCCUCCAGGAAGCCUUCCUACACGUCCAGAAUCUGAUAGUCCUGAUCCACAGCUGGACCCACUGCUUGAACCACCGCUUGAACCAGAGCUAAGACCACAGCUGGAACAACAGCUUGAAACACAGCUGGGACCACAGCUGGGACCACAACUAGGACAACAGCUGGGACCACAGCUGGAACAACAGCUGGGACCACAACGAGGACAACAGCUGGGACCACAACUAGGACAAGAGCUUGGACCACAGCUGGGCAUCGUUCUCUCCCAACAGGCCAAGAUGUUACUCCAGCAGAUGCAGACCUUUGGCGAUCUACUGAAGAGUAGAAAACUGAGUCUUGAAAAGCAAACAGAGGGUUUGUGUCACCUCAGUGAAACCUUGGACUCGUUGGUAAAAAGUUUCCUCCUGACGAAUAAGGAGCUACGCCGCCUGAAGAAGCAGCACAGAGCAGACCUGGGUUGUCUUGACCCCACACGGACAUUGAAGGCACAGAUCUACUACUCUGUGUAUCUCAUGAGGAAGCUGAAGAAGUAUCAGGAGCAGCUCUAUGAGACUCCGCCCCCCUCCUUCCCUGUUCAGCAUGUGUGCUCGUCCACUCCACGAACCCCCCCACAGUUUCCAGCUGAUCCUGGUGAGAUGAAGGAACUGAGGUCAACCAGAGAAGGAAGUGACAACGACUACAAACACACACUCACCUCUCACUUCCUCCCACCUCUGAGCGAUGCUCACACACACAUGGAUCAUGUCCGAUUGUUCCGCUGUGAUUCCAUUGAGUCCAUCUCUGCUGAGGAAAGCUCCAGGAAUCCUCCGUCUGUUUUUCACCCGCCCACAAACGCCAGCACGGCUCAGCAGGAGAAAAGUGGGAGGAGCCGCAGCCUCUACUGCUCGUCACCGCAGCGUGUCACAUGCAGCAGGAUGAGAUCCAAUGUUCAGCCUCCUGCUCUGAUGUCCAGAUCCACUCAGACCUCAGCAGCAGUGGAGAGGAGCAGCCGGACGCCACAGCACCGUGAGAACCUUCUUUAUUCAACCAGUUCAGAGUUCUCAGUGAGAGAAACGUCUCUGAUUUAUAUCAACUAAACAGCUUCCUCACAUUCACAUCAGGGAAAGGAAACCAGGAGAGACCCUGGUUAUGAUGAACAUGGCAAAAAUCAUCAUGAAAUCUGGUGAAAAGAGGUUAAAAGUGACAAUAAUGGGUCAACAUAUAAACAUUAGGUGUAAAAGUGGUAGAAAGUGUUUAUAAGUGCUGAACAUGUCUGGAAAGUGGAAAAAAUGUGUAGAAAAGACAUUAAAAUGUGAUGUAGAAGUGUCAGAAAUGGGAGAAAUGUAGCAAAUAUAAAUUAAAAGGAGCAAAAAUAUGGAAAGAAAAAGUGAUGAAAAUAGGUUAAAAUAUGGUGAGUUUGGUGAAGUUACAGAAAAAUGAUAAAAAUAAGCAAAAAUGGGCUGAAAUUGUUCAAAAGAUAUUCACACACACACACACACUUUCUUCUGACUGAGCACUCACUGAAUGGAACUCCUAACCUGCUUUAUGAUUGGCAGACUGUUGCAGCGACUCCGCCCCUCAUCGGGUCAGACCAGUGAAGAGCCAACACAACCGUGCUCUUUUUCUACGCCAGUUUCUGCCAGGGUGUCCACCUCAAAAACUGUAAGUACACACACACACACACAAUAUACAAAAUAACUCCACAAACACACAAAACAAC
This is a long non-coding RNA of Gouania willdenowi (blunt-snouted clingfish), 1906 nucleotides long. The record is from Ensembl. Lineage: Eukaryota; Metazoa; Chordata; Actinopteri; Blenniiformes; Gobiesocidae.